AAAUUUUUCAAACAGCAAAACAAUCGAUUAUAUGGUUUUUAACAAUCGAUUAUGUUCAGACCGUUGCCAGUGUUCUUUUAAACGUUUGAAAUAUAAUCGAUUAUACAUAGUUGAUAAUCGAGUAUGUUGGCACAGAAUCUUAAACUGAUUUUUGAACAAUAACAUACAAUCGAUUAUGUUUCAUAAACAAUCGAUUAUUCUCCUUAAAAUCAGGAUAUGAUCNNN
This 225-nucleotide long non-coding RNA is filed under the name Nicotiana benthamiana. Its description in RNAcentral is "long non-coding RNA (NBEN_LNC012974)". Lineage: Eukaryota; Viridiplantae; Streptophyta; Magnoliopsida; Solanales; Solanaceae. The record is from RNAcentral.